RNAcentral lists this ribosomal RNA (253 nucleotides) under uncultured bacterium. RNAcentral's name for it is "partial 16S ribosomal RNA". It matches the Rfam family "Bacterial small subunit ribosomal RNA", at positions 524 to 776 of the family's 1533-position model. The record is from RNAcentral.
UACGGGGGGAGCAAGCGUUGUUCGGAUUUACUGGGCGUAAAGGGCGCGUAGGCGGCGUGACAAGUCACUUGUGAAAUCUCCGGGCUUAACUCGGAACGGUCAAGUGAUACUGUCGUGCUAGAGUACAGAAGGGGCAACUGGAAUUCUCGGUGUAGCGGUGAAAUGCGUAGAUAUCGAGAGGAACACCUGCGGCGAAGGCGGGUUGCUGGGCUGAUACUGACGCUGAUGUGCGAAAGCUAGGGGAGCAAACGGG